UUGUGUGAGCGGAACCAGUCACUG
This 24-nucleotide non-coding RNA is filed under the name Mus musculus (house mouse). The record is from RNAcentral. Lineage: Eukaryota; Metazoa; Chordata; Mammalia; Rodentia; Muridae.